Molecule: ribosomal RNA, 1944 nt
Filed under: Salmonella enterica subsp. diarizonae
Lineage: Bacteria; Pseudomonadati; Pseudomonadota; Gammaproteobacteria; Enterobacterales; Enterobacteriaceae
Description: partial 23S ribosomal RNA
Rfam family: Bacterial large subunit ribosomal RNA
Source: RNAcentral
AGACCCGAAACCCGGUGAUCUAGCCAUGGGCAGGUUGAAGGUUGGGUAACACUAACUGGAGGACCGAACCGACUAAUGUUGAAAAAUUAGCGGAUGACCUGUGGCUGGGGGUGAAAGGCCAAUCAAACCGGGAGAUAGCUGGUUCUCCCCGAAAGCUAUUUAGGUAGCGCCUCGUGAACUCAUCUCCGGGGGUAGAGCACUGUUUCGGCUAGGGGGCCAUCCCGGCUUACCAACCCGAUGCAAACUGCGAAUACCGGAGAAUGUUAUCACGGGAGACACACGGCGGGUGCUAACGUCCGUCGUGAAGAGGGAAACAACCCAGACCGCCAGCUAAGGUCCCAAAGUCAUGGUUAAGUGGGAAACGAUGUGGGAAGGCCCAGACAGCCAGGAUGUUGGCUUAGAAGCAGCCAUCAUUUAAAGAAAGCGUAAUAGCUCACUGGUCGAGUCGGCCUGCGCGGAAGAUGUAACGGGGCUAAACCAUGCACCGAAGCUGCGGCAGCGACACUUUAGUGUUGUUGGGUAGGGGAGCGUUCUGUAAGCCGUUGAAGGUGUCCUGUGAGGGGUGCUGGAGGUAUCAGAAGUGCGAAUGCUGACAUAAGUAACGAUAAAGCGGGUGAAAAGCCCGCUCGCCGGAAGACCAAGGGUUCCUGUCCAACGUUAAUCGGGGCAGGGUGAGUCGACCCCUAAGGCGAGGCCGAAAGGCGUAGUCGAUGGGAAACGGGUUAAUAUUCCCGUACUUGGUGUUACUGCGAAGGGGGGACGGAGAAGGCUAUGUUGGCCGGGCGACGGUAGUCCCGGUUUAAGCGUGUAGGCUGGUUUUCCAGGCAAAUCCGGAAAAUCAAGGCUGAGGCGUGAUGACGAGGCACCACGGUGCUGAAGCAACAAAUGCCCUGCUUCCAGGAAAAGCCUCUAAGCAUCAGGUAACAUCAAAUCGUACCCCAAACCGACACAGGUGGUCAGGUAGAGAAUACCAAGGCGCUUGAGAGAACUCGGGUGAAGGAACUAGGCAAAAUGGUGCCGUAACUUCGGGAGAAGGCACGCUGACACGUAGGUGAAGUGAUUUACUCACGGAGCUGAAGUCAGUCGAAGAUACCAGCUGGCUGCAACUGUUUAUUAAAAACACAGCACUGUGCAAACACGAAAGUGGACGUAUACGGUGUGACGCCUGCCCGGUGCCGGAAGGUUAAUUGAUGGGGUCAGCGCAAGCGAAGCUCCUGAUCGAAGCCCCGGUAAACGGCGGCCGUAACUAUAACGGUCCUAAGGUAGCGAAAUUCCUUGUCGGGUAAGUUCCGACCUGCACGAAUGGCGUAAUGAUGGCCAGGCUGUCUCCACCCGAGACUCAGUGAAAUUGAACUCGCUGUGAAGAUGCAGUGUACCCGCGGCAAGACGGAAAGACCCCGUGAACCUUUACUAUAGCUUGACACUGAACAUUGAGCCUUGAUGUGUAGGAUAGGUGGGAGGCUUUGAAGCGUGGACGCCAGUCUGCGUGGAGCCGACCUUGAAAUACCACCCUUUAAUGUUUGAUGUUCUAACGUGGACCCGUAAUCCGGGUUGCGGACAGUGUCUGGUGGGUAGUUUGACUGGGGCGGUCUCCUCCUAAAGAGUAACGGAGGAGCACGAAGGUUGGCUAAUCCUGGUCGGACAUCAGGAGGUUAGUGCAAUGGCAUAAGCCAGCUUGACUGCGAGCGUGACGGCGCGAGCAGGUGCGAAAGCAGGUCAUAGUGAUCCGGUGGUUCUGAAUGGAAGGGCCAUCGCUCAACGGAUAAAAGGUACUCCGGGGAUAACAGGCUGAUACCGCCCAAGAGUUCAUAUCGACGGCGGUGUUUGGCACCUCGAUGUCGGCUCAUCACAUCCUGGGGCUGAAGUAGGUCCCAAGGGUAUGGCUGUUCGCCAUUUAAAGUGGUACGCGAGCUGGGUUUAGAACGUCGUGAGACAGUUCGGUCC